Molecule: regulatory RNA element, 46 nt
Organism: Paraoerskovia marina
Lineage: Bacteria; Bacillati; Actinomycetota; Actinomycetes; Micrococcales; Cellulomonadaceae
Rfam family: L31-Actinobacteria ribosomal protein leader
Source: Rfam
CCGGCUUCCGGUUCACGGCUGCGGCAUUCGCAGGCGACCCGGGGCA